Molecule: non-coding RNA, 1921 nt
Organism: Macaca mulatta (Rhesus monkey)
Lineage: Eukaryota; Metazoa; Chordata; Mammalia; Primates; Cercopithecidae
Source: RefSeq, a predicted model, not a curated record
GCAACUCCUCAUCUUGGGAUGAGGAUGAUGGGGGCUCAUCCCCUGAGCUCCCAGGAGCCCCAUCCCCAUCCCCGUCCACCUCUGAGUCCUGCAGCACCUGAGCGAUGUAUUUCUGAAGGGGGAGAGGAAAUAGGGGCAAGGUGAACAGCUACCCCUCAUGGAUGGGGGGAACACCAGGGCCUGUAGGACAGCAGAGUGGGCAGGGCCCUGGGAGGCGGGGGCAGCCCUCCAGGGAGACCAGCUCUCUCCCUGCCCCCAUGGGGUCUGGAACAGGUUCCCCUUUCUGCAGGACUAAGGGAACACUGGGCUUUGAGGCUGAGUCUGUCAGAGGCCCCUCCCAACUCUUGAGGGUACUCACCGCAGAUUUGGGGACAGCAGCAGCAGUGGAGGGCCGUCCAUUGCUUCUGGGGUCCACAGUAUCUGUCUCCGUGUGCUCAAUCUUGAGGAGCCCAGAAUGAGUCAGGAAGUGGGGGCAUGUCCUCAUCCCUGAUCAUGGCCCCAUGCCCGCUUGGCCCUGUUGGUACUGCCCUCAGCCCUUGCCAGCCCUGGGACCCUCUGUAUCCCCUUGAGCUCCUGCCCGCAGCCAUCCCCCCUGCCACCCUCGCCCCACACCUUGUAGUUGUGGGCACUGAGGUAUUUGAAGUGUCCAAAGCAGACGUGGCAGAGACAGAUGACGAUGGUGAUGACCAGGACCACGAAUGUGAACAUAGAUGUGGGAGCUAGGAACCCUGGUGUUGGGGGGGCAAAGAAUGGGGUUGCUAUCUCCUGUGGGUACCCCCAGGGCCUCCCCACCCCAGCUUCUGAUACCCUCUGAAUGCAGUCCUCACUCUCCCAGGUGCUACAGCCUGGUCCCGGCCUCUCCCAGGCCCCUUGCCCGCCACCCCCAGCCAUGCGGCUUCUCCUAUGGCCUGCUCUGCCUGGACUCUGGCUGGAAUCCCCUCUGUUCACGCCCCCGUUCCCUGGGUAGGGAUCCCUCACCCGUGCGCAUGGUGGAAAAGAAGAGCAGCCAGAAGAGGCAGAGGAUGGGCGCGGCUACCACCUGGUUCACAGCCCCCGAGUGGAUCUUCUUGUCCAGCUUGGCCGGCAGGUAGGCGUAGUAGAGAUUGUACCUGUCUACCAGGUGCUUCAGCAGCAUGUACAUGAGCCCUAAGGGAAGCCACAUGGGCCCUGACCUCGGAACCAGUGCCGCCGAACCUUUGUGUGUCUGUCACAGGUUGUCCUGGUCCUGAGAAGGCCGAAGGGUUGGCCCCCUCCUCCUGCCCGGGCCCCAGGACGGGAUAGUGCCCCAUGCCCCAGCCUGAUCACAGAACUUCAGCUUCCUCCGCUCCAACCCCUUCAUUCUGCACUCCUCAUUGGGAAUUCUACUACUGGAAAUCUAGUCAUCUGGAUCAACAAGCAUCUUCUUAAAACCCAUAUCAUUUUUCUCUAUCCCUGUCCCUAAACAGAGACAGAGUGGCAACAGACAGCUCCAAGAACUUGUGCCUCAUAAAGAGCCAUGGAGAGAGUGCUCAAGACCACCUAAGGCUACCAGAUCGUUCAGGAGAGAACUGUCCAGGAUCCCCAAAGACAACCCAGUGAGACCCUCAACCCAAAGGCUGAGCCCCAGGAACACCCAGAAGAUUCCCCCACUAUGACCAUAACUCCAGUUACCCCCCGAGUGUGACGUGAACCUCAGAUACCUCCACAAACAAGCUUUGAGACCCUUCCCCCGACAUCUCUGGGGGAGCCCAGGAACCUUUGUCAGUGCCUGAGAUGCCCCAAGUGUGAGUCAAAGAUCACCACAGAUGGCCUAGAGCAAAAUCCCUAGAGUCUGUGCCCACAGCCAUGAUGCAUGACCCCCAAUAUAUCCUCACAUGAUUCCCAGAGAAGAUGCCCAUACAGAACUCCAUAGGCACCCCCUGAAUAAAAGCCUGAAAUGUUA